AUCCCAUGGUGAGGGCAUUUAUGUAGUAGCUCUUUGAAUCUUUCCCAUGCCUCGUAUAAGGACUCACCAUCUAUUUGUUGAAAAGUGGUAAUCUCACUCCGCAACUU
Non-coding RNA from Gossypium raimondii (Peruvian cotton), 107 nucleotides. The record is from Rfam. Lineage: Eukaryota; Viridiplantae; Streptophyta; Magnoliopsida; Malvales; Malvaceae.